AGGUCCAGNCUGACCAGUGACUCUGUUUAACGGACGCGGGAUCCUAACCGUGCGAAGGUAGCGUAAUCACUUGUUCUUUAAAUAAGGACUAGUAUGAAUGGCAUCACGAGGGUUACACUGUCUCCUUUUUCCAAUCAGUGAAACUAAUCUCCCCGUGAAGAAGCGGGGAUUAACCUAUAAGACGAGAAGACCCUAUGGAGCUUUAAACAAUAUAGCAUUUACCUUACAAAUUUAUAAAAACAAACUUUACUAGGUAAAAUGGUUAUAAGUUUUUGGUUGGGGUGACCGCGGAGCAUAGUCUAACCUCCUUGUUGAAAAAAUCUUAUUUUAAGCCCAGAAUUACUUAUCUAANCAUCNACAUUUUGACAUCCAUUGACCCAAUUAUAUUGAACAACGAACCAAGUUACCCUAGGGAUAACANCGCAAUCCACUUUAAGANCCCAUAUCGACAAGUGGGUUUACGACCUCGAUGUUGCAUCAGGGUUUCCAAGUGGUGCAUCCGCUNCUA
RNAcentral lists this ribosomal RNA (508 nucleotides) under Ansonia muelleri (Mueller's stream toad). RNAcentral describes it as "partial 16S ribosomal RNA". It matches the Rfam family "Bacterial large subunit ribosomal RNA", at positions 1896 to 2567 of the family's 2925-position model. The record is from RNAcentral. Lineage: Eukaryota; Metazoa; Chordata; Amphibia; Anura; Bufonidae.